Macadamia integrifolia is the source of this 6547-nucleotide long non-coding RNA. RefSeq lists it as uncharacterized. The record is from RefSeq and is a predicted model, not a curated record. Lineage: Eukaryota; Viridiplantae; Streptophyta; Magnoliopsida; Proteales; Proteaceae. The transcript is spliced from 19 exons.
AGCCUCGGAGAAGCAGAGAGGGUCGUGGGAGAGGGAGAGAGAGUGCUGUGGAGGGAGAGAAUUGCAGAGUGUGAGGAAAGUAGUGCGAUCGUCUGUAGAGAGAGAAGAGAGAGGAAAUCAACGAAUCUUAAAGUUCGUUUCCGAAGACGUGAAUCAGUUUCAGUGAAGCAGUACUCGGAUGCAAGAUCUACCGAUCGAAGACCUCGUCCAGGGAAUUGCUAUAACUAGGUAACGCGAUUUUUUUUUUUUUUUUUUUAUCUGAACGAGAAAAGAGCCUCGGAGGAGCAGAGAGGGCCGUGGGAGAGGGAAAGAGCGUGCUGUGGAGGGAGAAAAUUGCAGAGAGUGAGAGGAAAGUAGUGCGAUCGUCUGUAGAGAGAGAGGAAAUACGAAUCUGAAAGUCCGUUUCCGAAGACGUGAAUUAGAAUCAGUGAAACAGUACUUGGAUGCAGGAUCUACGGAUCGAAGACCUCGUCCAGGGAAUUGCUUUAUCUAGGUAGUGCGAUCGUCCUUUUUUAUUUUUUUAUCUGAAGGAGAAAAGAGCCUCGGAUGGUUGGCUCACUCUUGCAUCUGUGAUCUGUGAGUUGUUUCAUAAGAUACUUGCCUCCUCAUUCUUGCCUUAUUCUCUUCAUCUGAUUCAUUUUAUUUGGAGUUUGUUAAUGUUGUUACGCAGGUGAAAGUUGUUCUACUUUCAAAGCUAAGUACAAGUUUCCCCUUAUUUCUAUGCUGGCCACGAAAGAAUGUAUAUUUCAAAGACCUUCUUGGUGUGAUUGCAUCUUUAACUGAUACACCUUUGGCAUGUGGUGACGUAAUGUGUAAACUGGAUUUUUGCUUUUUCUUGUGGGGUGGAAUUUUUUUUCCCUGAAAUAUUAGGUUUCAAAUGUUUUCCAUGCCUUUAAUUUUUGUUCCUUCCUGAGUCUGUUUCAUUUGAAGUCUUGAACAAUGCAUGUCUCCUAGACAAGCUUAUAAAAUCUGUCUAUCAUGUUACUUUCCUGUUUUUCAGUAUUUCACAAGCCAUUUCAUUUCUCAAAGUUUGUUAUAAUUGAAACCAGGGAAAUACUGUUAUUACAGUGUAGCUUAUCAGGGGAUACUUUUGUUAUUACAGUGUAACAUUUUGCAUUUUUGCUUGCCUUUUAGGUAUAUUUUCUUUCAGUGGUCAUUGUUAAUACAUUUUUUAUUAAUAUUUUCUUCACUUUUCGUAGAUCUUGUGCAGAUAAUAGUUGCAACCCUGGUAGGUUAUUUGAUCAUAUUGAGAACAAAUCUGGCUUCUCCAUUCGCUAAAUAGGAAUGAAAAUGCUUGUACUUGAUGAAGCUACCCACUAUUAGAUUUAGGAUUUUGGAAAGAUAUAGAGAAGCUUGUUGAUUGCAUACCAUGUCAAAGGCAGUCCUUGCUGUGUUCUGCUACUCUUCCAAAAUAGGUUAAUUUGUUGAAUUCCCCUUUCAAGUUUCCUUCAUUCAAAGUCAAUUUUUUUUACUUUCUGUAAACAAUAAAUAGGAACAUGUGUUUUUUAUUGAUACGGUGGGUCAUGGUGGUGUGGAAACUGAUGACAAGGUAUGAGUCUUCAAUACUGAAACUUUGGUGGUGGAGAAACUCAUAUCAAGGUAUGAGUCUUCAAUACUGAUUUUUGGUUUCCGGUUGCCUAAUAUAUCAAAUUGUCAAAAAAAGUGCCACCUUUUGAAUUUUGUUUCAUUAAAUCAAUAAAUUUAUUGAAAGAAGAAAACUGAAUUCAACCAAGUGUGUUCAGUGGAUUGCCUCAUAAGAUUCAUGAAUGUUUCAUGUUUGGUUUCAUCUGAAAUGUUCUAUCAAAUAAGCUUCGUUGUUCUAUUUGUCAUUGUUCUAUUGAUACCGUUCACUGUGUAGGACCUGGUGACCUGGUCUUGAAAAUUUCGAGAGCUAUGUUUUGUAUCAUUUGCACUGAUAUGGAUGAAUAUCAUUGUUCUAACAGUGGCAAGCUGCUCUCACCCUGGGUUCGACUUACAUAAUGUCGUUUAUGUGUUGCACACUGUUAUUUUUAUAGAAAGAGAAUUGGGAGCCUUACUCUCGCAUACCUUUUAGAUUGCUGAGUGCAGGUUAAACAAUUAUAUUUGGUUGCACCUCAUGAACUCCAUUUUCAAAUAGUUCACCAGCUUUUGAUGGAGCAUAUCACACACAUGCUCGAUUACAGGGUUGAGAUGCUAUUGAUUACUUACUUUAAUUUGAUAACUAAUUUUUUUUUCUUGGUCUAAUUGUUCCACAUUAGGAUUUUCUUUGGUAAGGUUGGGAUGGUCUGAAGAUUGAUCUAAGGCCGCAUUAUAAAGGGCAUGAAGGCAAUGAUUGGGAAGGCAUUCUAUUGCUCGCACCAUGGGAAGAACAUUUCUUAGAUGAAAUAAAAGAUCUGACAAUUAAGAAGUUGAAUUUAUCACAAGUAUAUUUAGAUAUAAAACUGAAGGUUUCUCUCUUUCUCAUUCAUUCAUUAAAAAUUGAAAUUAUGCAUGUGGAAAAUUUAAUUGCCUUUAUAUUAUUUGCUUUUUUAGAUUAAGUGUGUAUUGAAGAAAAAGGGUUAUUUGGUAUAAAAAUUGGGUGUGGUUUUGAUGGUUAAAGCGGUGCAACAUUUUUCUGGGAUAUUAUUUUUGAAAAACAUGGGCACCCAACUCUCUAAUGUCUUAUUGAAUCCAACUGACACACUCGCCCCUUUGGUUGAACCUACCCUUAUCUAUAAUAAAUUAGAGUACUGAAUCAAAAUUUUUGUAGAUUUUUUUCGUCAGGAAAUUAGGAAUGCUGCCUAACCUCUAAACCAAUGAAUGAGUGGUAAACAGAUUCCUUGUUCGAAUUACAUGUGAGGGAGAAGGCACUGAACUUUACACCCUGGUUUAUCUGACUAGUAUCCAUCUUCUUGUAAGCGAUUUCCCUAUCAUGAAUUUUGCACUUCAAAAGGAUUUGAUUCUCUUUUGAUGAAGUUGCCAAAAUUUUCCCCCUUAUAUUUUCACUUCUAUAUAAUCUUUUUGGUUUCUUGUUCUUCUUGGAUAAAUAUUUCUUAUUCAUUGUGCUCGUUUCAGAUGGUAGGCUAAUGUAGUUAGUUUUCAAUGUUGGUCUUGGUGGUGUGGAAACUCAUGACAAGUUAUGAGUCUUCAAUACUAAUAUCUUGGUGGUAUGGAAACUCAUAACAAGGUAUGAGUCUUCAACAUUGAUUUUCGGUUUUUGGUUGCUAUAUUUAUCAAUUUCUCAGCUAGUACCACCUUAUGAAUUUUGUUUCAUUAAACCAAUAAAUUUAUUGACAGAAGAAAAUUGAGUUCAACCAAGUGUCAGUAGUGGAUUUCCUCGUUAAUUUCAUGAAUGUUUCCCAUGUAGGACCUCGUUACCUGGCCUUGAAAAUUUUGAGAGGUGUGUUUUGGACUCUUUGCACUGAUAUGGAUGAAUAUCAUUUUUCUAACAGUGGCAGGCUGCUUACACCCUGGGAUCUACUUACAAAAUGCCUUUUGUGCUUUGCACACAACUCUUUUUGUAGAAAGAGAAUUGGGAGCCUAACUCUCGUAUACCUUUUGGAUUACCGAGUGUUAUUGUUUUCUGCACAACUGCAAUGGUGACAUAACUUAUGUUCUUCCUUCUUCGAGAGUUAAAAAUGAAUGUCAGAAAAAUGUGUUCAAGAAAGCCUCAACAUUAUGGUAGCUUAAAACUUGGCGUGCUCAUUAGCUCUACUGCAUUUUUUUCGAUGAUCUAGAUGGAUUGUGUGAUAGUACUUCACUAUUGACACUUAAAGGGCAUAAGCAUUGGUAGAAGCAUGCACCAUACUCAUUGGCCAUAGAAGAUGGUAGGCAAAUGUAGUUAGUUUUAAAUGUUGGUGGGCGCCCGUGGGCCAGACAGGGUAUCUUGUCUGCAAAUGGCUGAGGCCUGAGGUUGUUGCAAAUAUCAGAGGAUACAACACCUCAUUUAUUAAACUUGUUUUUGCAUCAUCAAUCUUUUGCAGAUUAUAGUUGCAACCCCUGGUAGGUUAUUGGAUCAUAUUGAGAACAAAGAUGGCUUCUCCGUUCGCUUGAUGGGCCUAAAAAUGCUUGUACUCGAUGAAGCUGACCACUUAUUAGAUUUAGGAUUUCGGAUUGAUAAACAGAAGCUUGUUGAUUGCAUACCACGUCAAAGGCAGUCCUCGCUUUUUUCUACUACUCUUCCAAAAGAGAUUGAUUUUUUGAAUUCCCCGUUCAGCUUGUUUUGAAAAGGGAACAUGAUUUUAUCGAUAUGGUGGGUCUUGGUGGUGUUGAAACUCAUGACAAGUCAUCUUGGGAGGAUCAAGACACAAACAAGACAUAUAGUUGUAUCGACUUGCACUUUCUUUCUUAUUACCCAGUUGCAUUGGGUUGACUUUCGAAUUUAAGUACAAGUUUCCCUUUUAUUUUAUGCCACCGCGGAGAAUUUUUUUCCCUUAAAUAUUCGGUUACCUUUUCACAUAGGGGCUAUAAGCCAGGUGAAGGAGGUGAACUUCCAAGCCACAAAGUUAUAGGAGAUAUGGUAGUCACUAGAAACUCCACCGCUGUUGUGGGACUUAUCAGUCCCCCUCCACAUCAUGAUAUCUACUCUAUUGAAGAUCUUGCCUAAUUAAUUCACGAUCUUAAGAACUCUAAUCCAGGAGCUCGAAUAAGUGUGAAACUUGUAUCUGUAGCUGGGAAAGGAGUUAUUGCUAGUGGGGUAGUGAAAGGCCAUGCGACCCAUGAUUUGAUCUCUAGUCAUGAUAGAGGGACAGGAGAUUCACCUUGAACUGGUAUCAAAAAUGCUGGGCUAUGGGAGCUUGAUUUGGCUCUUCAGACAUUAUUUGCAAAUGACCUUCAGGGUUCAGCUACUCUACAGACAGAUGGUCAACUUAAAACUGGAAGGGAUGUGUAUCAUUGCAGCACUUCUUAGUGCAGAAGAGUUCGGCUUUAGCACUGCUCCUUUAAUAAUCCUCGGCUACAUCAUGAUGCGUAAAUGCCACAAGAACACAUGCCCUGUUGGUAUUGCUACACAAGAUCCUAUUCUUUGUGAGAAUUUUGCGGGGGAGCCUUAACAUGUCAUAAUUUUCUUUCCAAAAAAGGAAAAGAAAGAAAUCAAUGUUUGAGUCAUAUCUGAGGCGACGAUUUGAAAGACUGAUUGUUGUUAUAGAAACUAUGGAGAAAGAGGAUCUUGAUCUUUCACCUUGGGAGGGUCCAGACACAAACAAGACAUAUAGUUGAACCGAUCUGUACUUUCUUUCUCUUACCCAGUUGCGUCGGGUCUACUUUCAAAUCUAAGUACAAGUUUCCUCCUUAUUUCAAUGCCGUCACAAAGGUUUGUAUAUUUCAAAACAGGGGAUAUAGAAAGAAAACCAAAAAUUUGGUGUAAAUGGAGGAAAAUGAAAAGCAAGAAGUCACGUACAAUGGACUGUUAGACGAUAUAUAUUUUUUUCUCCUUUUGUUAAUUAAAUUCACUUUCCAAUAACCCAUGCCUACUUGUUAAUGUUGCAGGGAAUGAUAGAAAUAGAUGUUGAGGCAUAUCUGAGGCGACAAUAUGAAAGACAUAUUGCUGAUGUAGCAAUUAUGGAGAAAGACGAUCUUGAUAUUGUGAACGUUCAUGCCGAGGAACUGAACUCGUGGCGUGCAGCCCUAACAAGUUGAGUCUAAUCCAUGAUGAGGCAGUGCUGAUAAAUCAUCUAAUUAAUUAAGAGGUGAUUGGCAGAACCAACCAGAUGAAUGGGUUGUUUGCUGUUUCUUCCAGAAGAGUGCUGGAGUGAAGAAGUACCCUUCCAACCCAACAAGAAAUAAUCCAUAUAACCUUGAAAUGGGUCCAAGUGUCAUGCCACAAUUCAUGCCAACUGACAUGUAUCACUUCCCUAUUGGAAGAAACUAGCAGGCAUAGAGUCGAUCUUUAGCACUGAAAUAGUGAAAGUAGAUGUAGCUUCCAAGACUCUUACUAGUGCAGCUGGAGCAAACUCUAAGUGACUUUUUGAUACUUGGAACUGGCUAUUUAGACAUUAGGUUGUCUGGUUUUGGUGUUCAAGGAGCUGAUGCACAUUUUCUGUUUGGGAGAAACUGAUGAUGCUGACAAGCUUAUAGAAGCAAUUAAGGCGAAGAAGGAUGGAAAGGCUGUGAGUGUUGGAGGGGGAUACAUUGGUCUAGAGCUUGGUGUUGUAAUGAGGAUCAUCAAUUUUUUAUGUUACUGUGGUGUAUCUUGAGCCAUGGUGUAGUGAAUGCUGUCAAACUGAGAGAUGGGAGGGUACUGGAUGCUGACAUUGUUGUGGUGGUGUUGGGGAAGACCCCUCACCGCAUUGUUCAAAUGAUAGGUUGAGAAGGAGAGGUGGAAUUAAGAUUCAGGCUAUCCAUCUUAUAGGGGAGGUCUUGAUAAUUCAUAUCUGUUUCACAAUCUGUAUAAAGGAGAGUCUGAAAUCAUAAGUACUGUAAGAUCAAUCUCAUUCUUUCUUUCCAAGGAUGAAUUGUACAUCAUUAUCAUUCAUUCUCAUAAUUUAGAGGGAAAAAAAAAGUCAAUUUAAAGUCCAACCUUAGAUCUAACAAAUCUUGGAUUUGUACAUCAUUAUCAUGUUUGAGAAUGACAUAUCACAGGUUUUGCUGA